RNAcentral lists this microRNA precursor (59 nucleotides) under Monodelphis domestica (gray short-tailed opossum). RNAcentral describes it as "microRNA mdo-mir-12407 precursor". Lineage: Eukaryota; Metazoa; Chordata; Mammalia; Didelphimorphia; Didelphidae. The record is from miRBase by way of RNAcentral.
UGUGCUGCCUCGCUGCCUCACUUUCUCUUGCUAUAGAGAGGACACAUGGUGAGCACAUG